UGGGUACCGCGGGCCGGAAGUGUAGCGUUGCCAUGGCGAGGGCCGGGCGCGGGGCCCGCCCCCGCAGCGCCUCAGGGAGCGCGGGGCCCACUGACCCGCGGAAGCCAGCGGACCCACUUGCGCGGCGGUCGGCGCGGGGCGCGAGAUGAGGAAAUCGAGGCCGCAGAGAAGGGACUUACCCAAACUUAAGCUUUGUGUGGGCCUUGGAGCUAGGCUGAAGGAGAACCUGGAGUCUCACUGGGGUACUGGCACACGGAUGAGGAGUCGUAGAAGAGGGGCCUGCAGAUUGUGCUCUCAGCAAGCCUGUCGUCUAGUGGAAGACACUGGCCGGGACACAGAGCCCACGUGUGGACACCGCUGUGGGUUGGUGGCAGGGGUCGAGCAGGUGCCAUCAGGCACAUGAACGGUGGAGUCUUCAAAGGUGUGAGCAGCUGCCGGAAGAGGAGGUGCUCCUGAAGACACUGCGGCCGGCCCGCCUGUGCCCUUGGUGCCCUGGCUGCCUAGAGAGCCUCACCCCUGGGCCCUGGGGCCAGGACUCCAGGACUCUGACUACCUGCCCUCCCCCAGCCUCAGCGGCUGCACCUCCUCAUUAGUACUGAUGCGCUGACCUCGGCACACAGCUGGGAGGGGUUGAGG
This 636-nucleotide small RNA is filed under the name Pan troglodytes (chimpanzee). Its description in RNAcentral is "processed transcript". Lineage: Eukaryota; Metazoa; Chordata; Mammalia; Primates; Hominidae. The record is from RNAcentral.